AUCUUUUGUUUUUUAAAAAAAAACCCUACUACCCUUGCUUUAAGCGCACCCAUUGUUUCCUCGGCAGGCUUGCCUGCCAGUACGACCCUUGAAAACCCUUUGUAAUUGCAAUCAGCGUCAGAAACAAUGUAAUCGUUACAACUUUCAACAACGGAUCUCUUGGUUCUGGCAUCGAUGAAGAACGCAGCGAAAUGCGAUAAGUAGUGUGAAUUGCAGAAUUCAGUGAAUCAUCGAAUCUUUGAACGCACAUUGCGCCCCUUGGUAUUCCAUGGGGCAUGCCUGUUCGAGCGUCAUUUGUACCCUCCAGCCCUGCUGGGUAUUGGGCGUUUUGUUCCGCUACGCGCGUGAACUCGCCUCAAAUGCAUUGGCAGCCCGCCGUCCCGUGUGGGAGCGCAGCACAUUUUGCGCUCUCCGCUGCUGACGGUGGCAUCCACAAGUCUACCAUUUUGCGCUUGACCUCGGAUCAGGUAGGGAUAC
Molecule: ribosomal RNA, 477 nt
Filed under: Pleosporales sp. osu_besc_29c
Lineage: Eukaryota; Fungi; Ascomycota; Dothideomycetes; Pleosporales
Description: eukaryotic LSU rRNA
Rfam family: 5.8S ribosomal RNA (bases 140-293)
Source: RNAcentral